GCUGCCAGAAAUGCUCGAAGCCUUUUAUAGCAUUUGAUAUAGGUUCUCAAGGUGUCCCUCCUGGACCCAAAUGGAGUCAGCCUGCAUUUCAGGAUGUGCCCCUUAAAUCUAAUCUCAACCAGUCUUUUGUGCAGAAAGAACUUCCUAACCAAGGAACCUCGAAAAUGACUGCAGGAAGUGCUGGGUUUCCACCUACACGAACUGGACCCCAACUCCUGGACCCAAAUGGAGUCAGCCUGGAUUUCAGGAUGUGCCCCUUAAAUCUAAUCUCCACCAGUCUUUUGUGCAGAAAGAACUUCCUAACCAAGGAACCUCGAAAAUGACUGCAGGAAGUGCUGGGUUUCCACCUACACGAACUGGACCCCAACAGGGUCCAGAGAUAUGCAGAGGAAAGACUGCUCCAGUGUUUGAGGAUAUGAGAACCAAACGGAAGGAUGGAAAGCAAACAGGUGGUAUGAGAGAAGGAGCUGCAAUGCCAAAGGUGAAU
RNAcentral lists this long non-coding RNA (487 nucleotides) under Nicotiana benthamiana. Its description in RNAcentral is "long non-coding RNA (NBEN_LNC017094)". Lineage: Eukaryota; Viridiplantae; Streptophyta; Magnoliopsida; Solanales; Solanaceae. The record is from RNAcentral.